GGUGUCUUGGCCGAAUGGUUAAGGCGUUGGACUGCUAAUCCAAUGGGGAUUUAUCCCUAUGUAGGUUCGAAUCCUACAGACACCG
RNAcentral lists this transfer RNA (85 nucleotides) under Candidatus Kaiserbacteria bacterium. Its description in RNAcentral is "tRNA-Ser". It matches the Rfam family "tRNA". From Rfam's summary of the family: Transfer RNA (tRNA) molecules are approximately 80 nucleotides in length. Their secondary structure includes four short double-helical elements and three loops (D, anti-codon, and T loops). Lineage: Bacteria; Candidatus Kaiseribacteriota. The record is from RNAcentral.